Molecule: ribosomal RNA, 395 nt
Filed under: uncultured bacterium
Lineage: Bacteria
Description: partial 16S ribosomal RNA
Rfam family: Bacterial small subunit ribosomal RNA
Source: RNAcentral
CCUACGGGAGGCAGCAGUGAGGAAUAUUGGUCAAUGGACGCAAGUCUGAACCAGCCAUGCCGCGUGCAGGAAGACGGCUCUAUGAGUUGUAAACUGCUUUUGUACGAGGGUAAACGCAGAUACGCGUAUCUGUCUGAAAGUAUCGUAAGAAUAAGGAUCGGCUAACUCCGUGCCAGCAGCCGCGGUAAUACGGAGGAUUCAAGCGUUAUCCGGAUUUAUUGGGGUUAAAGGGUGCGUAGGCGGUCGGAUAAGUUAGCGGUGAAAUCCCGAGGCUCAACCUCGGACUUGCCGUUGAUACUGUUCGUCUAGAGAGGAGGAGAGGUAGGCGGAAUGUAUGGUGUAGCGGUGAAAUGCAUAGAGAUCAUACAGAACACCGAUUGCGAAGGCAGCAUACC